This 442-nucleotide ribosomal RNA is filed under the name uncultured bacterium. RNAcentral's name for it is "partial 16S ribosomal RNA". It matches the Rfam family "Bacterial small subunit ribosomal RNA", at positions 338 to 795 of the family's 1533-position model. The record is from RNAcentral.
CCUACGGGAGGCAGCAGUAGGGAAUCUUUCACAAUGGGCGAAAGCCUGAUGGAGCAACGCCGCGUGCAGGAUGAAGGCCUUCGGGUUGUAAACUGCUUUUAUAAGCGAGAAAUAUGAUGGUAUCUUAUGAAUAAGGAUCGGCUAACUACGUGCCAGCAGCCGCGGUCAUACGUAGGAUCCGAGCAUUAUCCGGAGUGACUGGGUGUAAAGAGUUGCGUAGGUGGGAUAAUAAGUAGCUAGUGAAAUCUGGUGGCUCAACCAUUCAGACUAUUAGCUAAACUGUUAAGCUCGAGACCGUUAGGAGUAAAUGGAAAUUCUAGUGUAGGAGUGAAAUCGGGAGAAAUUAGAAGGAAAACCAAGAGCGUAGGCAGGUUGCUGGGACGGUUCUGACACUAAGGCACGAAAGCGUAGGGAGCAAACGAGAUUAGAUACCCUUGUAGUC